CUAGCGAAGUGGCUGAUACCCUGCUUCCAGGAAAAGUCUCUAAGCUUCAGUUACACAGGAAUCGUACCCGAAACCGACACAGGUGGUCAGGUCGAGUAGACCAAAGCGCUUGAGAGAACUCUGCUGAAGGAACUAGGCAAAAUGGUACCGUAACUUCGGGAGAAGGUACGCUGUUGACGGUGAUAGGAUUUACUCCUUGAGCGGUUGACAGCCUCAGAAACCAGGCCCCUGCAACUGUUUAUUAAAAACAUAGCACUCUGCAAACACGAAAGUGGACGUAUAGGGUGUGAUGCCUGCCCGGUGCUGGAAGGUUAAUUGAUGGGGUUAGCGUAAGCGAAGCUCUUGAUCGAAGCCCCAGUAAACGGCGGCCGUAACUAUAACGGUCCUAAGGUAGCGAAAUUCCUUGUCGGGUAAGUUCCGACCUGCACGAAUGGCAUAAUGAUGGGGGCGCUGUCUCCAGCAGAGACUCAGUGAAAUCGAAAUCGCCGUGAAGAUGCGGUGUACCCGCGGCUAGACGGAAAGACCCCGUGAACCUUUACUGCAGCUUGACAUUGAACUUUGAUCUUACUUGUGUAGGAUAGGUGGGAGGCUCGAAGUAGCGACGCUAGUUGCUAUGGAGCCAUCCUUGAAAUACCACCCUGGUAAUAUUGAGGUUCUAACUCUGUCCCGUUAUCCGGGACGAGGACCAUGUCUGGUGGGUAGUUUGACUGGGGCGGUCUCCUCCUAAAGAGUAACGGAGGACUACGAAGGUGCGCUCAGCGUGGUCGGAAAUCACGCGUAGAGUAUAAAGGCAAAAGCGCGCUUAACUGCGAGACCAACAAGUCGAGCAGGUACGAAAGUAGGUCUUAGUGAUCCGGUGGUUCUGUAUGGAAGGGCCAUCGCUCAACGGAUAAAAGGUACUCUGGGGAUAACAGGCUGAUACCGCCCAAGAGUUCAUAUCGACGGCGGUGUUUGGCACCUCGAUGUCGGCUCAUCUCAUCCUGGGGCUGAAGCAGGUCCCAAGGGUAUGGCUGUUCGCCACAUAAAGAGGUACGCGAGCUGGGUUUAGAACGUCGUGAGACAGUUCGGUCCCUAUCUACCGUGGGCGCUGGAAAUUUGAGAGGAUCUGCUCCUAGUACGAGAGGACCAGAGUGGACGAACCUCUGGUGUACCGGUUGUGACGCCAGUCGCAUCGCCGGGUAGCUAUGUUCGGAAGGGAUAACCGCUGAAAGCAUCUAAGCGGGAAGCCUACCUCAAGAUAAGAUUUCCCAAGGACUUUAUGUCCUCUAAAGAGCCGUUGAAGACUACGACGUUGAUAGGUUGGAUGUGGAAGCAUAGCGAUAUGUGAAGCUGACCAAUACUAAUUGC
This 1347-nucleotide ribosomal RNA is filed under the name metagenome. RNAcentral's name for it is "bacterial LSU rRNA". It matches the Rfam family "Bacterial large subunit ribosomal RNA", at positions 1582 to 2908 of the family's 2925-position model. The record is from RNAcentral.